GGUUAAGCGACUAAGCGUACACGGUGGAUGCCCUGGCAGUCAGAGGCGAUGAAGGACGUGCUAAUCUGCGAUAAGCGUCGGUGAGGUGAUAUGAACCGUUAUAACCGGCGAUUUCCGAAUGGGGAAACCCAGUGUGUUUCGACACACUAUCAUUAACUGAAUCCAUAGGUUAAUGAGGCGAACCGGGGGAACUGAAACAUCUAAGUACCCCGAGGAAAAGAAAUCAACCGAGAUUCCCCCAGUAGCGGCGAGCGAACGGGGAGGAGCCCAGAGCCUGAAUCAGUGUGUGUGUUAGUGGAAGCGUCUGGAAAGGCGCGCGAUACAGGGUGACAGCCCCGUACACAAAAAUGCACAUAUUGUGAGCUCGAUGAGUAGGGCGGGACACGUGGUAUCCUGUCUGAAUAUGGGGGGACCAUCCUCCAAGGCUAAAUACUCCUGACUGACCGAUAGUGAACCAGUACCGUGAGGGAAAGGCGAAAAGAACCCCGGCGAGGGGAGUGAAAAAGAACCUGAAACCGUGUACGUACAAGCAGUGGGAGCCUCUUAAUGGGGUGACUGCGUACCUUUUGUAUAAUGGGUCAGCGACUUAUAUUCUGUAGCAAGGUUAACCGAAUAGGGGAGCCGAAG
Molecule: ribosomal RNA, 627 nt
Filed under: Escherichia coli
Lineage: Bacteria; Pseudomonadati; Pseudomonadota; Gammaproteobacteria; Enterobacterales; Enterobacteriaceae
Description: partial 23S ribosomal RNA
Rfam family: Bacterial large subunit ribosomal RNA
Source: RNAcentral